RNAcentral lists this transfer RNA (66 nucleotides) under Isoptena serricornis. RNAcentral describes it as "tRNA-Ala". It matches the Rfam family "tRNA". Rfam says of the family: Transfer RNA (tRNA) molecules are approximately 80 nucleotides in length. Their secondary structure includes four short double-helical elements and three loops (D, anti-codon, and T loops). Lineage: Eukaryota; Metazoa; Arthropoda; Insecta; Plecoptera; Chloroperlidae. The record is from RNAcentral.
AGGACUGUAGUUAAGUAUAACAUUUGGUUUGCAUCCAAAAAGUAUUGAGUAAUUCAAUCUGUCUUA